GAUGAACGCUGGCGGCGUGCUUAACACAUGCAAGCCGAACGAAGCACCUUGAUUCGAUUCUUCGGAUGAAGAUCUUGGUGACUGAGUGGCGGACGGGUGAGUAACGCGUGGGUAACCUGCCUCAUACAGGGGGAUAACAGUUAGAAAUGACUGCUAAUACCGCAUAAGACCACAGCACCGCAUGGUGCAGGGGUAAAAACUCCGGUGGUAUGAGAUGGACCCGCGUCUGAUUAGGUAGUUGGUGGGGUAACGGCCUACCAAGCCGACGAUCAGUAGCCGACCUGAGAGGGUGACCGGCCACAUUGGGACUGAGACACGGCCCAAACUCCUACGGGAGGCAGCAGUGGGGAAUAUUGCACAAUGGGGGAAACCCUGAUGCAGCGACGCCGCGUGAGCGAUGAAGUAUUUCGGUAUGUAAAGCUCUAUCAGCAGGGAAGAAAAUGACGGUACCUGACUAAGAAGCACCGGCUAAAUACGUG
RNAcentral lists this ribosomal RNA (479 nucleotides) under uncultured bacterium. Its description in RNAcentral is "partial 16S ribosomal RNA". It matches the Rfam family "Bacterial small subunit ribosomal RNA", at positions 28 to 507 of the family's 1533-position model. The record is from RNAcentral.